UACGAAGGGGGCUAGCGUUGCUCGGAAUUACUGGGCGUAAAGCGCACGUAGGCGGAUUGUUAAGUCGGGGGUGAAAUCCUGGAGCUCAACUCCAGAACUGCCUUCGAUACUGGCGAUCUCGAGUUCGGGAGAGGUGAGUGGAACUGCGAGUGUAGAGGUGAAAUUCGUAGAUAUUCGCAAGAACACCAGUGGCGAAGGCGGCUCACUGGCCCGAUACUGACGCUGAGGUGCGACAGCGUGGGGAGCAAACAGG
This 253-nucleotide ribosomal RNA is filed under the name uncultured bacterium. Its description in RNAcentral is "partial 16S ribosomal RNA". It matches the Rfam family "Bacterial small subunit ribosomal RNA", at positions 524 to 776 of the family's 1533-position model. The record is from RNAcentral.